CCAAACUUGGUCAUUUAGAGGAAGUAAAAGUCGUAACAAGGUUUCCGUAGGUGAACCUGCGGAAGGAUCAUUAGCAAGAUCGACCCGAAAUAUGGACGAUCAAAUCCAUAUCCACCUUGUGUGCACCUAUUGACCGUUCGCUUUGGCAGGAGUCGUCUUCGAUUCCCCGGAAGGGGAUCUCGAAGCGCGAAGGGAGGUGUUCCCGAUAGAGAGCGCGUACCCUGGCCUGCCAGAGUUUUUUCCCCCUUUCAAAGGGAAAAAGAUCCACACUUCAUUUUGAACCUUUGGACUGAACCCUCGUCUCGAUUCUCUGUAAUCGGUCGAAUCAAAUACAACUUUCAACAACGGAUCUCUUGGCUCUCGCAUCGAUGAAGAACGCAGC
RNAcentral lists this unclassified non-coding RNA (382 nucleotides) under uncultured fungus. RNAcentral's name for it is "partial contains small subunit ribosomal RNA, internal transcribed spacer 1, and 5.8S ribosomal RNA". The stretch from base 1 to 73 matches the Rfam family "Eukaryotic small subunit ribosomal RNA", at positions 1759 to 1831 of the family's 1831-position model. Lineage: Eukaryota; Fungi. The record is from RNAcentral.